Molecule: long non-coding RNA, 93 nt
Organism: Neogale vison (American mink)
Lineage: Eukaryota; Metazoa; Chordata; Mammalia; Carnivora; Mustelidae
Exons: 3
Source: RefSeq, a predicted model, not a curated record
UGAGUUCUCCUCACUCCAAACGCUGGAUGUAGUUAAGAUUAGAGACUCCCUGGCAAGACAAUUCUGCAGUGCUCUGGAAAAGACUUCCAGAGC